UACAGAGGGUGCAAGCGUUGUUCGGAAUUAUUGGGCGUAAAGCGCGCGCAGGCGGUUUCUUAAGUCUGAUGUGAAAGCCCACGGCUCAACCGUGGAGGGUCAUUGGAAACUGGGGAACUUGAGUGCAGAAGAGAAGAGUGGAAUUCCACGUGUAGCGGUGAAAUGCGUAGAGAUGUGGAGGAACACCAGUGGCGAAGGCGACUCUUUGGCCUGUAACUGACGCUGAGGCGCGAAAGCGUGGGGAGCAAACAGG
Molecule: ribosomal RNA, 253 nt
Filed under: uncultured bacterium
Lineage: Bacteria
Description: partial 16S ribosomal RNA
Rfam family: Bacterial small subunit ribosomal RNA
Source: RNAcentral